ACAAUGGAGAGUUUGAUCCUGGCUCAGGAUGAACGCUAGCGGGAGGCCUAACACAUGCAAGCCGAGCGGUAUUUGUUCUUCGGAACAGAGAGAGCGGCGUACGGGUGCGGAACACGUGUGCAACCUGCCUUUAUCAGGGGGAUAGCCUUUCGAAAGGAAGAUUAAUACCCCAUAAUAUAUUUUACGGCAUCGUGGAAUAUUGAAAACUGAGGUGGAUAGAGAUGGGCACGCGCAAGAUUAGAUAGUUGGUGAGGUAACGGCUCACCAAGUCGACGAUCUUUAGGGGGCCUGAGAGGGUGAUCCCCCACACUGGUACUGAGACACGGACCAGACUCCUACGGGAGGCAGCAGUGAGGAAUAUUGGACAAUGGGUUAGCGCCUGAUCCAGCCAUCCCGCGUGAAGGACGACGGCCCUAUGGGUUGUAAACUUCUUUUGUAUAGGGAUAAACCUACUCUCGUGAGAGUAGCUGAAGGUACUAUACGAAUAAGCACCGGCUAACUCCGUGCCAGCAGCCGCGGUAAUACGGAGGGUGCAAGCGUUAUCCGGAUUUAUUGGGUUUAAAGGGUCCGUAGGCUGAUUUGUAAGUCAGUGGUGAAAUCUCACAGCUUAACUGUGAAACUGCCAUUGAUACUGCAAGUCUUGAGUGUUGUUGAAGUAGCUGGAAUAAGUAGUGUAGCGGUGAAAUGCAUAGAUAUUACUUAGAACACCAAUUGCGAAGGCAGGUUACUAAGCAACAACUGACGCUGAUGGACGAAAGCGUGGGGAGCGAACAGGAUUAGAUACCCUGGUAGUCCACGCCGUAAACGAUGCUAACUCGUUUUUGGGUUUUCGGAUUCAGAGACUAAGCGAAAGUGAUAAGUUAGCCACCUGGGGAGUACGAACGCAAGUUUGAAACUCAAAGGAAUUGACGGGGGCCCGCACAAGCGGUGGAUUAUGUGGUUUAAUUCGAUGAUACGCGAGGAACCUUACCAAGGCUUAAAUGGGAAAUGACAGGUUUAGAAAUAGACUUUUCUUCGGACAUUUUUCAAGGUGCUGCAUGGUUGUCGUCAGCUCGUGCCGUGAGGUGUUAGGUUAAGUCCUGCAACGAGCGCAACCCCUGUCACUAGUUGCCAUCAUUAAGUUGGGGACUCUAGUGAGACUGCCUACGCAAGUAGAGAGGAAGGUGGGGAUGACGUCAAAUCAUCACGGCCCUUACGCCUUGGGCCACACACGUAAUACAAUGGCCGGUACAGAGGGCAGCUACACAGUGAUGUGAUGCAAAUCUCGAAAGCCGGUCUCAGUUCGGAUUGGAGUCUGCAACUCGACUCUAUGAAGCUGGAAUCGCUAGUAAUCGCGCAUCAGCCAUGGCGCGGUGAAUACGUUCCCGGGCCUUGUACACACCGCCCGUCAAGCCAUGGAAGUCUGGGGUACCUGAAGUCGGUGACCGUAAUAGGAGCUGCCUAGGGUAAAACAGGUAACUAGGGCUAAGUCGUAACAAGGUAGCCGUACCGGAAGGUGCGGCUGGAACAUCUCAUUUUAGA
Molecule: ribosomal RNA, 1521 nt
Filed under: Chryseobacterium sp. G0240
Lineage: Bacteria; Pseudomonadati; Bacteroidota; Flavobacteriia; Flavobacteriales; Weeksellaceae
Description: bacterial SSU rRNA
Rfam family: Bacterial small subunit ribosomal RNA
Source: RNAcentral